UGGGGAAUUUUGGACAAUGGGCGCGAGCCUGAUCCAGCAAUGCCGCGCGCAGGAUGAAGGCCUUCGGGUUGUAAACUGCUUUUGUACGGAGCGAAAAGGUCUGCCCUUAUACGGUGGGCUCAUGACGGUACCGUAAGAAUAAGCACCGGCUAACUACGUGCCAGCAGCCGCGGUAAUACGUAGGGUGCAAGCGUUAAUCGGAAUUACUGGGCGUAAAGCGUGCGCAGGCGGUUAUGCAAGACAGAGGUGAAAUCCCCGGGCUCAACCUGGGAACUGCCUUUGUGACUGCAUAGCUAGAGUACGGUAGAGGGGGAUGGAAUUCCGCGUGUAGCAGUGAAAUGCGUAGAUAUGUGGAGGAACACCGAUGGCGAAGGCAGCCCCCUGGGUCAAGAUUGGCGCUCAUGCACGAAAGCGUGGGGAGCAAAC
Molecule: ribosomal RNA, 426 nt
Filed under: uncultured bacterium
Lineage: Bacteria
Description: bacterial SSU rRNA
Rfam family: Bacterial small subunit ribosomal RNA
Source: RNAcentral